Long non-coding RNA from Triticum aestivum (bread wheat), 494 nucleotides. RefSeq lists it as uncharacterized. The transcript is spliced from 3 exons. NCBI's taxonomy places the organism in Eukaryota, Viridiplantae, Streptophyta, Magnoliopsida, Poales, Poaceae. The record is from RefSeq and is a predicted model, not a curated record.
AAAAGAAUGAUAAGCCCAAAAGGGCUCAAAAAGGUAACAAAAAUAGGUGCAAGUUGUGUGAGGUACUUGGGCACAGAAUUGGUUCAUCCAAAUGCAUCUACACUCCUCAGAGGCCAAAGAGGAAGCGUGCAGAAAAAGCCCCACCUCUUGUUGUUGAACAAUGCUGGCCAGUGAAAAAAGCAAGACUCAAUGGCUUUAGAAGGAAGAGCACUAAGCAGAUAAUGUUUGGUGACAAAGAUAUGGAGCAAACUGAAACUGUUACUGCUGAACAUGAGCUAAGUGUUUCUGUUUUGGACGAUGUGAUGCAUACUGAAUCUGUUUUGCAGGCGCUAGGGCAAUCUGAAACUGUUGCAGAUGAAGCAACUGUUGUGCUGCCAAGUGUUGAGUUGCAAACUGAAGUAGUUGAACAAUGUGUGCCAUCUACUCAAUCUGCAGAAGUGCAAACUGAAGAAGUGGGACAUGGUCAGGUGCAAAAGUUGAGGGGGCCUAGUGGA